RNAcentral lists this unclassified non-coding RNA (358 nucleotides) under soil metagenome. Its description in RNAcentral is "partial contains 5.8S ribosomal RNA, internal transcribed spacer 2, and large subunit ribosomal RNA". The stretch from base 1 to 120 matches the Rfam family "5.8S ribosomal RNA", at positions 35 to 154 of the family's 154-position model. The record is from RNAcentral.
GAUGAAGAACGUAGCGAAAUGCGAUAAGUAAUGUGAAUUGCAGAAUUCAGUGAAUCAUCGAAUCUUUGAACGCACAUUGCGCCCGUCAGUAUUCUGGCGGGCAUGCCUGUUCGAGCGUCAUUACGCCCCUCAAGUCCCCUGUGGACUUGGUGUUGGGGAUCGGCGAGGCUGGUUUUCCAGCACAGCCGUACCUUAAAUUAAUUGGCGGUCUCGCCGUGGCCCUCCUCUGCGCAGUAGUAAAACACUCGCAACAGGAGCCCGGCGCGGUCCACUGCCGUAAAACCCCCCAACUUUUUAUAGUUGACCUCGAAUCAGGUAGGACUACCCGCUGAACUUAAGCAUAUCAAUAAGCGGAGGA